RNAcentral lists this long non-coding RNA (16184 nucleotides) under Heterocephalus glaber (naked mole-rat). RNAcentral's name for it is "lncRNA (ENSHGLG00000038034.1)". The record is from RNAcentral. Lineage: Eukaryota; Metazoa; Chordata; Mammalia; Rodentia; Bathyergidae.
AGCGGUGUGGCCGAGGGCGGACGACGCGGCCCGGAGCGCGGACCUGAGAGCAGCGCUGGGUAACGGCCGCGGCCACCGUCCUGAAGGUGCCCAUGCUCCCGGCAGGCUUCCGCGUAGUCGCUCGCUGCGCGGCCGGAUGAGUGCGGCGGGUGCUGGACGCCAGGGCCGGGGGCAGAGGGCCCGCCGUGUUGAUGUUAUUGUUUGGCCGCCGCCGCCUUCUUCUCGGCCGUGACCCCUCCGGGUGGGGGCGGCGGGCCAGCGGGCCAGUGGGCGGGCGGGGGCGCAGGAACAAUAGCUGCCUGGGCGGGGGACGUAGGACCCCGGCUGCCGCCCCAGCGCCGCUCCCGCCCCAUUCAGGUCCCGCAUCCACGUCGCGAGUAGAAAAUGGAGCUGGCGGGUGGCAAGUUGGGAACACUUGGGCGAAGGUCGGGACCGCGCUCGCGUCGUCGGGUCCCCACGCCCGCCCGGCGCCCGCGGGGUCCUCGUCUAGCUCGCGGAAGCUCCUUUGUGUGGACGCGGGCGUCUACAACGCGAGGAGGAUGCGGUGCUCCGGCCUGGGCUGCGGGGACCGGACCCGGGUGCGGGGUGCGUGUCCCGCUCGCCGGGCUGCGGGGGCCGGCGCGCCUUUCUAGACUGGAAGUUACUGGGCCGCGACCUUUUGACUCUUUCAGCUCCCUGGGCUGUCUCUUUGUCUUGCAUUUGGGUUCCCCAUCCAGAAGUGGCAGAACCAAGACCAUUUCAAAGUACAGUUCUCUUUUCAUUUUCGAAAGUUCCCCAUCUUUACUGUAAAUUUAGUAAUCCGUUGACUACACAGCAUCGGACAGUCUCCAAUGGUUACUAUUUUUACCUCUGAAAUUCAGUGAUGUUCCCAGAAGAAUUCUGGCCUGUCAGCCCAUUGUUUUGAGAUAAACAUCCAGUGUAUACCUCCUUGGCAAUGAGAACAUCUGCUUAUUUCAUUCAUUCAUUCGGCAGCUGUUCAGUACUGUGUCCAAUCAGAGAAGUUUGAAGGUAAAGAGAAAUAUCCCUAAAUGGAAGAGGAUACUUUAACUGAAAUGUAAUAGAUGUGCCUUUAAAUAAGAUGAUUAUAUAAGGUGGGUGUCAGAGAAGGUAGAGUUAUAUACUCUGGCUCAUUUUACUGUUUUUUAGCAGUGUGUCUCGGAACUUCAGGAGCAAUUUUAUAUUAGUAAGUAGAGUUGGAUUUGGCCUAAAUGUACAGCAGCUUUUAUUUCCAAAUGUAUUUGUUCUGGUCUGGCAGUUACCUGUAUAGUUACUCAUAUUCCCCUGCUGGGCUUACCCUUAACCUUGGGAGGUCAGACGCUCUGAGUGAACAAGCUCUUGGAGGCACAAAAUAAGCAGUUGAGUUGGGAUUUCUUGAGGGCAGGCCUAGCUUGCAGCUCUGUUCCAGCCUGGAGUAUAGUAAGUGUUCAGAAGAAGGUGGAUUGAGGAAAAGCUCUUUAUAAUUGUGAAUACUUAAAAUUGAGCAUUUACAGAAAACUUAAUAUUCUCCUUGGAGUUUGGAUGCUUCAUGUAGACUGUCACUUCCAGAUGGCUGACUAAUCGGUUCGUAUAGUACAUUAUCUGUUGUGACAACAGGGCUUUUGAAUCACUUCAGUGUCAGUUUUCGUCCUGGCAUUUCUAGGCUAUUCCAAAGCAAAACCUUGUCUAAAUGUUUUUAGUAUGAUUAAUAAAGGAAUGUAUGUUAUGAGACGUGUGUUUUUAUGUGUAAUCAGUUGAGUAUCCUCAUGGUGAGAAUUCCAACUGCUCCAAAAUCUGAAUCACUUCUGGUCCUAAGCAUUUAGAAAAGUGAUACUCAACCUGUGUGUAUAUGUGCACGUACAGACUUGUAUGGUGGUACUGUAUAUCGUAUGACUGUUUUUAUUUUGUGAAUAUUAUUUGAAAGGUUUUUGAUGACUCCUUUGUUUUAACUAGUAAAGUAAAACAAAAGAAACAACCUGCAUAAAUGUUUUAUUAAAAACACUUAAUUUCUAAUUACAUUUUAGAAAUGCUUACUAGAAACGUUGUCAUGCGCUGUUACUGUUGGUAAAGUAUAUGGGCCUGAAAUUCAGUAAUACCUGUUUAUUCAAGUUGUAGCACUUUUCCAAUUCACUAUUUAGUAUGUGUUAGCAUUUGUUUUGGAUAUGAAGGAAUUUAAAGUGAACUUAUUUGAUCUAAGUAGAAAUGAAGAAAUAAAAUUAAUAUCCUUUUAACGUAAGUGUUAAAAAUCUUCAGACACCAAACUUUAAUUGCUUUACCUAGUUAAGGUAUGUUAGAUUUCAGUAAGGAUUACUGAUUUAAAAAAAACAAAACACCUUUUUGUGUAAGCUCACAGUUUAUGUUCAGAACCAGAGUUAAUGUUCUGUUUACUACAUAUUGUUGGUUUUUGAAAAUAACAGCUUUAUUGAGAUUUAUGUAUCAUUAAAUUCACCCUUGUGUUGUGUACAUUUCCUUGGUUUUAAAUAUUUUCAGAGUUGUACAUUGAUUACCACUGUCUAGUUCCAGAAUCUUGUCAUCACCCCAAGAAGAAACCCCAUGCCCAUUAGCAGUCACUCCACAUUCUAUUCUAAAUUAUGUUUUAAAGGAAAAGAGAAGAGUCUGUUAGGAAAUAUAUUUCUUGAAUGCGUUUGAAAAGGUCUCCCUUUAAGUAUCCUGGCACAAUGGAAAACUAUAUCUUUCAUAUUCCUUUAGGUCCUGAGGGAAAGGCCACUUGGAAAUUACUAUAAGGAUAAAUUGUAUUAAAAUUGAGGUUCAAAUUUUAACUAUUUGCUCUAUGCCUAAUAUGAAGAUUACCUUAAGAUACUGGUGCUCAGUGAAAUAAUUUACUUUGUUGUUAAAUAACUAGUCCAUAACUAUCCUAGUGGUAUUUAAGAGAUUGUUGAAUAGGAGCCUACUUCUAGUUGGUUGUUUUGGCAGUGAGUUGAGUUUUGACAUUUGAAUCAUCUACAUGAUUGAGAUGCUUUGUUGCACCUGUGGAAGCUCUCUUAAGUCUCUGGUCAAGACAGUGGUAUUGGGUAGUGGCCUUUCUGAUUCAUGUAGUGUAAGGAAGUCAUUAUAAGCAAAUAGCUUUAGAUGUGACUCAUUUGCCUGUUUCGUUGAACUGUGGUUAUUGUCUUAAUCAUGAGCUCUUUACCUGAAUGUUUUGGAAGCUUUACAUUCUUGCUCCAAUGCAAGUUACUUUUAACUUUGAUUUAAAAACUGAAUUCUGAUUCAAGAGAAUCUAUUAUCUAAAAGGUGACAUGAGUAUUGAAAUAAGAGUCAUUCUAUCAUUUAAGGCUAUAGUGGAACUAAAGCAGUCCAGGUAUCAGUCCUGGGUUCACUUUGGACUUUUAUCAUCAACAAGCUCUGGAGCCUUAGGCAAGUUGUUUAACCACUCUGAUUUUAGAACUGUAAAGAGAGGCUGUCAGAGCUCCUUGUUUUAUAGAAGACUGUUUAUAAAGAGACCAUGUAGGGUGAUUAUCAUGAGCUCCAGUCAUUGACAGCAGUCAAAGAGCUGCUCAGUGGUAAAAUGUCUGCCUAACAUGUUCAAGCCCCUGGGCAGGAUCCCCUGCACUGCAGUGGGAUAGGGGUGGGGAUGACAAUCAAAAUUACCUUGUAUUUUCAGAAGCACAGAAAAUUGUUACUCUUUUUCUCUAAUAUCUCUGGACUUAUAAAACAAAAGCUUCACUAAUAAGCUAGAGGUUCUGUGAAUGGUAGAUUUUGAUCAUUAGGCACCGCGUCUUCUGAGACUCAGUGACAUUUUUUCAGAGACUGUGGAAAAUGUGAAAGUGAAGAGUUCAUUAGCCUCAAGCUUAUGAUCAAGGAUGCAACUUAAGGCAUAUCUAAACAUUAUUAUUGUCUUUUAAAAGAUGUGUAAGGGGGCUUCUCCCAAACAAAAAGCCCACUGUAAAUCUCUGAGCAGGCCAAAUUUCACUGAAAUGUGUUUUUUAAAAUUGUGUAUGCGUAAGGCCUUUCAGAGAAUUUAUUACCUGCCAUUAUUUUUCAAAGUAGCGUGUAAUAUUACAGAUAUAACUGGUAUUUGUGUUUCCUAUUUCCCUUUAGUAAGUAUUACAUCAGACUUGAUUAAAAUCUGCCAUUCUUUAGAAAGCUAGGGAACUCAAACCUACAGGUGCCUAGGAUGGGCUUUAGGGCUAGCCCUGAGCUCUAGUCCAUGCUCCACAUCUGAUUAUGAAACAUAAGCUUGUUCAGGUUAUAAAAUGUAUUUGACUUAUCUGUCAAAUGAGAUUGGUAAUAGCACAUCACCUUAUAAAGCUGUGAGGGUUAAACAAGGUACUGCAUGUGGAGUGCCUGGGACUGAUGUGCCUGGAUGGUAGAUGGAAGUAUUCAGGACAUUUUAGUUAUUGUUUUUGCAUAUUUUUAACUUGGAACAAAAUGCCCGGUAAAUUUAAAAUAAUUUUAAUAUGCAGUUUAUAUUCCAAUUCUUCAGAACACACCAGUUGUUUCCUUUACAUUUCUGGCAGGGGUCAGGGAGUUAUUAAAAUUUGAUCAUCUCAUCUAAUCUGAAUUGACUGAGGUUAUUUAUGUUAACAUUUGAACCCAGGAAUCCUCUCUGCCUUAAAAUUUGAAACUAUUUCAAAAACAUCCGUUGAAAGGAUGGUAUUUGCCACAUUCUCUGAUACAGCUUUAUUUCACCUUUUUUUUUUUUUACCCUUUCCCCCAGCAGAGAAUUGCCUAAGCAUUCCUAGGUUUGUUUUAAUAUCUAAAGGAAUGGGAAUUUAGGAGCUGAGAAUAGCUUUAUUAUGUAACCCAUUUGAAGAAAAUGGAAUGCUAUCAUAUCUUCUUCUCUUUUUUUUUCCUUUACUUUAUUUUUAUUUUUUGGUAAUGAGGAUUGAACCCAGGGCCUUGUGCUUGCUAGAUAGGGACUGUACCACUGAGUUACACCUUCGCCCGAUCGUAUCUUUUAAUUUUAAUUUUAUUGGGAUUUUGUCAUGGAACUGCCUUGUAGCCAUUAACAGUUCAUUAAGCAUUUUUUAGAAUUUCUAAGUUUUUGGUUAGUUUCUGUGGUACAUUUCUUGAUCCUUCUUGAGGAUAGGAACUAUGACAUGAUGACACUGAUUUUCAAAAUGUGCUGUAUAUUGAGAAACCACUCUGCCACUCCAGUUAGUGACAUGGGAAACUGACUUCUACACUGAAAUCUAAGUCAAUCUGUACCUUCAGUGAUCUGCUUAUAACUUUGAUAGGAAAUAAGGACAAAUGUAAAUGCACGAUUUCUAACAAGGAAGCAAAUAUUGUUAGUCAUUUCACUAGGAAUUUCUUUUGUCAUUGGGACAUUUGGGGAUUUCCAAAUCUUAGCAUCUCUUGCCUGGCUUUUAAAAAUAACACUUUGAUAGACUGCAGAAAGCAAGAUGUCUUUUCUAAACUUUGGUUGUCAUUGAGAGUGUAGCACAGAGGAGGCAGAGUAAAAGUAUGAGAAGUAAAUUAUAGCUACUCAGAUACCAAUUGGAGUCCUCAAACUUGUAUGUUGACUCUGAAAACUUAAGACUGGAUUUUUGCUGGGAGCACUUUCUUAUGUUUAAUCUUUGUCUAGUAAUGAGAAAUACAGGCUUCACUAGUUCACAUCUCCUGCUGAGAUGCCCCAGACUGUCACCCCCUCAUAUUUCUGAGGACACUGGACAAAAAACCAGCCACACACACCCCUGCUUUGGUUGGCAGGAGGCAUCAAAAAUAUUGGGAAAUUGCUAUUUGCUAAAAUUUUUUGAUGGGAUAGAAAGUCACCAUUCUCAGACUUGCUCCAGAGAGGGUGGCUCAUGACUCAGAUGCUACUUGGGUCAACCAAAGUUGAAAUGAAGGAAAGCUACUGCUAGAUCUCCUGGUGACUUGAGAGAGCAUCACUUUUUCAGUCACCAAACAAAACCCAAAGUACCUAGUAUUGUCCCAUCUACUACUGAGAAUUAAAAGAUUUAUUUACAUUUUAUUUUCAUUUUGACUAAGUACUGUAUUCACUUUGAUUCAGAGUUCCAAAGAUUGAAAAAGAGAUAAAGAAUCUCCUUUUCAUUCUGUACAGCCACCAGUUCCUCCACCAGGAAACAGUGUUUAGUGGGACUCCUUCCAGAGAUAGGUUAUAUUUGCAAAAGUAAUGCAGCUGUAUAAAUCUUUGUCCAAAACCCUUGAUCUAGAUGUAUUUCAGAAUAUUUUUUUUUGCAAUUGUAGCAAGAUAGUAUAGUGUAUCUACCAUAUUAACCAAAAUCCUUAAUGGGAAAUGGUAAUCAAAAACAAUGAUUCCCUAUUGAAAAUAUAAAUAGUACAUCAAGUGGGAUGGAUAGAGCUUAUAAAGCCCUUUUUGCCAGUUCCUGUCAAAUUUGGCUGCCAAAUAUGUUUGUACUAAACUUUUUUAAAAAACAUCUUCUAUUUUGAAUAGAUUUUGGUCUUGCCAGUCAGUAACUAUUCCUCACAUAUGUAGUGUGUAUUCUCUUCCCCCUUCCCCAAUCCAAGUUGUUGGAUACAAUGUACACUGCCCAUUGCCUUUAUUCUCAAUAUAGUUUAGAGAUUAUUUUCUGUUAUGUACUGUAAAAAGCAUGUUUCCUUCUCCCUCCACUUCUCUCUUUUUAAACCUCCUGGUAUUCUGUUUGUCAAUCAGUUUGGGCUGAUAUAACACAAUAUCAUGAAAUAGGUGGCUUAAACAAAAGAAAUGUCUUUCUCACACAAUUCAAGAAGCUGGGAAGCUCAAGACCAGGAUACUAAGCAGCUUGGUUACCUGGUGAGAGCCUCCUCUUCACUUGACCAGCUCAGUUCCCUAGUAGACCCCUGCCUUCUACCUGCAUCCUCAUGUGGUCACAGAGAGCUCUGGUGUCUUUGGACACUACUUUCAUUGUGGUCCCCACCUUUAUGAUCUCCUGGAAACCUUGUUACUUCCCACAGCCCACACCUCUGAAUACCAUCACAUUGGAUAUUAGGGCUUCAACAUAUGCAUGGGAGGGGCCACACAAAUGUUCAGUUCUUAGCACCAUUACACAAAUGUACCAUUUAAUUAAUCAGCUCCUUUUUAUGUACAUUUAGGUUGGUUUGAGUCUUGCUAUCAAAAGCUGUAGUGUAGUGGAUUACCUUGUGUAUGCAUCAUUUUAUGCUUACAUAGAAAUGUACAGGAUAAAUUUCUAGAGGUGUAAUUAUCAGGGCAGAGCAUAUGUGCAUUUGUAGUUUCGCCUUAUAUUGCUUAAGUGCAGCCUUUAGAGGUUGUCCAGGUUAUAUUCUCCCAGCACUAAGGACACUGCUUCUUUCCUGUUCACCAUUAUGAAUGAGAUAGAUAGAACAUUUUUCAAGAGUUAAUUGUAUUUUCUUUUUUUGUGAACUGUUGCUAUCCUUGCAUAUUUUUCUGUUGCUCAUUUUCUUAAAUUGUAUUUAUUUUUACAUGACAGAAAUUAAUUCCAUGCUAUUUCUGGAGAUUUUUUUUAAACCUAAUUUGCUGUUUGCCUUUCCUACCCCAAGAUGGUAUGAAUGAACCAAGUGUUAUUUAUUUAUUUAUUUAUAACAGGUGACUGUUGAGUUAUGUUCACGUUAUUUAAUAAACAAUCCAUGUUGGUCUUUUUAAAAAUACCACCUUUAUCAGUUACUGAAUUUUCAUGUGUAUUGUACCAUUUCUGUUCCAUUGACUCAUCUGUCUGUUUAGGAACCAAGCCACCCUGUUUUAAUUUUUUUUUUUUUUUGAGAUUUGAAGGAUUAUUUAACAUUAGCAUUUUAUAGAAUAUAAACUCAUUUCAAGAGCUGAGGAAGAGAUAGUGUUUUCAGCAAAUGGCACUAGAACACCUGGUAUCCGUCUAUAAAAAAUUAACCUCAACCGUUUUUUUUCCUUACAUGAAAAUAACUUGAAAGGAUCUAUGAACCUAAAUAUGAAAGCCUAAAAGUAUAAAACUUUAAGAAGAAAUUAUAAGGGAAAAUGUUUAUGAAUUCAGGGUAGGCAAGAACUACCUAGUAUACAAAAAACAUGAUGUAUAAAAGAAAAAAAUUGAUAAAUGAGAUUCCAUCAAAAUUUAGAACUUUAAAUGACAUCGUUAAAAUGAAAAGUAGUCCUUAAACAGACCAUAUUUACAAUGCAUAUAACCUAUGACCAGAAUAUAUAAAGAAUUCUUAGAGCUCAUUAAUAGACAACCUCAUUAAAAUGUAGACAUAAGAAGAUGAUAAAUAGCCAGUAUAGCACAAGGAAUAGUGUGCAACUCUAGAAUCAGAAAAAUACUAAUCAGUACAAUAAUAAGAUUGAAUUAUACACUCAUUAGGGAGAUGAAGUCAAAAGUUGUAAAAGCCUUGUCAUGACUUUUUCUUUUUUGUUGGAUUCUCCCCCUUUGCGUUUAAUUUGUCACGCCCAAUGGAUUCAUUCUGCUGGGUUUCCUGGGGUUGUGGUCCUCAUUGUCUUUUCCUAGGGUAUUGUCUAAAAUUUUUUGGAGUGCCAGUUUGAUAUUCAUGAAGUUCCUGAGGUGCUCUUUAUCAUGAAAGUAUCUUAUUUCUCCAUCAAUUUUGAAAGAUAGUUUUGCAGGGUACAUCAAUCUGGGUUGGAGGCUGUUUUCCUUUAGGGCUUGAAAUACAUCACUCCAAGCUCUUCUUGCCUUGAGGGUUUGCAUUGAGAAGUCUGCUGUGAUUCUUCUGGGCUUUCCUUUGUAUGUGAUUUGUUUCUUUUCUCUCACUGCUUGUAGAAUUUUGUUCUUCUGUUGGAUUUCUGGAAUCCUAACUAUUAUAUGCCUGUGUGUAGAUUUUUUUUUUGAUCAAGGCUAUUGGGAGUCCUAUAUGCCUCACUUAUCUGUAUGUCAAGAUCUUUUCCCCUCCUUGGGAAGUUUUCUGCCAUCACUUCUGUGAACAGUUUUUUAUGUCAUCUGCACUCUCUCCUCUUUCCUCAUUGACUCCAGUCAGCCUUAUGUUAUUCUUCUUUGCAUCAUCUAGCAGCUGCUGGAUUGAUUUCUCGUGUUCCUUUACAAUUUUAAAGCAAUUUUUCUUUUCCUGGUCACUAAUUACAAUCUUUUCAUCUAUAUCUGAAAUUCUAUCCUCACAUUGGUUCAUUCUGCUGUGAAGACUUUCGAUGGAGUUUUUAAUCUCCUAGAAAUCUGUUUGUAUCUGUUUUAUGGAUUCCAUUUGUUUCCUAUGUUGGGAUCCCAUCAUGUUCCUCAGAUCCUCUAUUUUUUUUAUCUGUGUCCUCUCUAGAUUUAUUAAUCAUGUCCUGCACCAUGAGCAAAAUCUUUGCUGUUAUCUGAGUAAUUAUUUCUGAUUUCAUUUUUUCCAGAUCCUCUUUUGUUGCCAGUUCAGAGAGUCCAGGUGGUUGAGUAUCAGAUUAUUCCACCUGGUUUCCCUUUGGGGUUGCUUUAGGUGAUCCAGAAGUCUGUUUUUGAGGCUUGUUUAUGUGUCUUCUCAUUUCCACGGGGGGGUGGGGGGGUGCUUCUGGUGGCUGUGUGGCUCACCUUCUCUGCCCUAGGAGCUUGGGAUGGCAGCAGGGGAGGUUCCUUCCCAGUGCUGGGACCCGCUUAGCUUCUCUGCCCUCUGAUUCGGUGUUUUCAGCAUGACUGGCGACCUCGGGACUGCGUCCACAGACCUACCUGUCUGCAGCGUGCUGAUUCGGUGUUUUCUGUGUGACUGGCCCUGUUUUAAUUAUAACACUUAUACUGUGCUUUCUGUUAGGACUAAUUCCCUUUGAUUUCUUUUACAGAUUUUUUUUUCCGUGUUUGUUUUGUAUGAACUUUUUGAAUCAGCCUGUCUAGUCCAUUCACCUCCUCUGCCAAUCUUUUUGUCAUUUCUGUUGAGAUCACUUGAUUUUUUCCAUUAUCAAAGUCAAAUUUACUUACAGUACACUGCACAAACAUUAUACUUGAACAACCUAGCAGAAGUUGGCAUAUAUAUAAAUACACUGGUGUAACUUUCAGGUCAAGAUACAGAACAUUUCCAUUACUGAGUUUCCCCAUAUCCUUUCAAGUUGGUAGUUUCUUCACUUGUCCCUGACUGUGUUUGACUUCAAUUAAUAGAUUCAGUUUGACAUUAGAACUUUUUAAUAUGAGAAUUUACAGGUUUAUGAUAUUGUGGAAAUCUUAACCUUUAUGUUUGUUGGAGUUUUUUGGGAGAGUCCCUAAGCAUUUUAAAGUUUUUUUCCUAUCAGUUUUCUAUGUUUAAAUUUUUUGUGUCACUCAUUUUUCUUGCUGUUGAAAAUAGCAUCUUUUUCAUUUUCUUAUUCUCUGUAUAUAAGAAAGCUGUUUAUUUUGUGUAUAGGUAAUAUUUUCUAUAUUAAAUUAUAAGCCCCCUUUUUAUUUUUUAGGUAUAAAUCAUGCUGACUUUUUUGUUUCCUUUGAAUUUUUACCUCCUCUCCCCAACUUUUAUACCCCUAUUUUUUCUUUUAGAUAUUGAUAGCAGUUAUUUAAGAAGUUUGCAGUUUUCUUUCAUAAUAUGUAAAACAAGAACUACAAUAUCUUAUCUAUAUAUUUAAGUAAGACAUGAGUAAUAAUGAAAUUGGGGUGAGAUUAUUGUUAUUAGAGAUUAAAAAUUGGGCAGGUAUAAGUAUUAGAGUAGUAUGAAAUUGUCUCUAAAGCUAAUGUAAAUAUAUUUUAAAUAAAUUCUUUUAAAUGGACAAGUUGGUGAUCAUUUGAUAUGGAAUGCAGAAUUACUAAUUCUUAAUUUUCUUGGGUCUUACUUGACACAUUUGGACUGCUUUCUGUAGCAGCAGAACCUAGAGACAGUUUCCAGAAAUGUAGCUUAAUUUGCUGCCAGGGAACAUACAGCCAAGUUAGAGGUCAAGAUCUGGAGCAGUGAGAAUUAAGUGUGUGAAAAAGAAGGUGUUAAUGCUUAGAAAAUGGUUUUUACAAGGCCAGGGAUUUAGCGCAGUGGUUCCGCUGCCUGCCUUGCAAGUGCAGGGUCCUGAGUUCGAUCCCCAGUACCAAAAAAAGAAAAAAGAAAAUGGUCUUGACAAAAAUAAGCAGGUCAGAAAGACAUGGAGAUGGAGGAGGGGAAGGGAGUGUGCCUUGGCCCUAGGUUUGCAGUAACUUAUCUUUAUGAAAUUAUGUGGUACUUGGUUGAAGAUACCUAGCUGUAAUUCAGUAGUGAUCUCACUUAUUAAUGGAGAGUACAUAGUUUAUUUUGUCUUUCCUCUUUCGAACCCUGCCCCCUAAAAAAAGCUGAAGCAGUUUACUAUUCAAGGACCCAUACAUUGUUGAGUAAGGUAGAAACAAAAAAUUAGAAUCCAGGGAAAACAGGAAUCUAGAAUAUCCUAAUAACAUAAUAAAUAUUCAGUGUUUAAUCAUACUCCAAGCACUGUUCUGAUGUUUUACAUGUGGUGUUUAAAUGCUCCAUGAUGAUCCUAGGAACCAUUAUUCCCAUUUUAUAGAUGAGGAAACAGGCACAAACAAAUUAUGUAAGAAGUUGUUGGUGAUCUUGAUGAACAGGUUUAUUAGAGUGGGAAGAAAGCCAAAUUGAAGUUGGUUAAAAAGCAGUGAAUGCGAUUUUUUUUUUUUUGGUCCUGGGAAUCAAACUCAGGACCUUGCACUUUCCAGGCAGGUGCGGUGCCACUAAGCUAAAUCCCCAGCCCCCUAAUGCAUUUUUUUUUAAAAGAGAAAGGAGCAAGUGCAGAUUGAUGGAUGUAGACAGUUUUUUCAAGAUAAUUUUGAAGUGGAUGGGUAAAGGAAAACAUGGGGUCCAAACAGUGAGAAAAGGAGAAUGUCCAGGAAAGACAUUACAGGGAAGAGACAGUUUGGCUCCUGUCUCUAAGACACAGUUUGAAGAGAAAUCCUUCCAGGGAAGUUUGGUGAUUAGAAAAUGGAAGUUUAGACUACUGCCUUUCAUCCCUUGUGGCUUCUGUUUUCUCAAUGAUACAGGAGAUUCACAUGCACAGAAAGGGAUGGGAGUAUGGGGAGUUUGAAGCAGUUUGCCAAGAGGUAUUGAUUGUUCACUUAAGGCAUGAAAUCUUGAAUUUAAAGUGGUAUCAGUCUGCAUUUGUGAUUGUUUCCAGCAUUAACUGAUUAGAUAUGAGUACAGAUAAGGCAGACAGUUGGAUUUAUCCAGAGUGAGGUUUGCCAGGGGUAUCAGUCAUCAUGGGCCAGAGAAACAGCCAGUAGGAGAUGUAGAUGGAUGGAUAGACUACCUGAGAUUUCAAGGAAUUGUGAGGAUUGCAAGUCUGAAAUCUGUGGAGCAGAUCGGCAGGAAACUCUUGGACCAAGCUAAUGCUGUGGUCUUGAGGCAGGAUAUUAUCUUCCUAUUGGAAACCUGUUUUCACUUUAAAGACUUUCAACUUCUUAAAUGAGGCCUGACCAUAUUAUCAUUAUCAAGGAUAAUCUUCUUUCUGUACUUAAAAUCAGCUCAUUAUAGAUAUUAACCACAUCUACAAAACAUCUUCAUAGGAUUACCUGGAUUUGUGUUCAAUAUAAUGACUGCAUACUGCAGUGUAGCCAAGUUGACACACAAAGCUAAACAUCACAUUAAGUCAGUUAAGAGAAGGAAAAGUGGACAAGGGAAAAAGAGAGCUUAAAGGGAAUGCUUAGAGAAGUAAUGCUGAAUUAUAACACCUAACAUUGGGCAGUAAAGGAGAUGAGGUGAGAAUGUUUAGUAUGAAUAUGGUAGCACCAAGGUAAUGGAGUUUUCAUUUAAAAUUACUGUAGGGGGCUGGAGGGUAAGUAAGUGAACCUGCAGGAUUGGAUGUCAUGAUCAAAAGGGGAUGCCUGAAAGAAAGGUUUCACAAGGGUAAUAGUUCCUGUCAUUGAUAAAACCCAGGAUGCUUUUGGGUGUGGACUGCUAAGGUGGAAAUGAAGGACAAAUCUGUGCAUGUGAGGAAGCCAAGGGAUUAGAGUGGGGUUAGGAUGUAGCUCAGGGUAGAUUACUUGCCUAACAUGAGUGAUGCCCUGUGUUUGAUCCCCUGGCACCCCACUUCCACCCCCCAAACACACAGAAGGAGGAAGGAAGGGAAGGAGACUAAUUAAAAGGGUCCAUCUACAUGAAAGAUGAAGUCAGAAAAUGGUGAUAAGAGUUAAGGAUGUAUUCAGUGAACCACUUGCUAAUGUCCUUGAAGAAUGAGGGACAAUUGAAGGAAGGAUAGAUGGCAAUAAGAAAACAUAAAUACAGUAUAAAUGGUUGUUUGCUUUUUAAAAAGUAGCAAUUUCAAAAGGCCAACUGAAGCAGUUAGGGAUGAGGAAUUGGGUAAAAUGGAGGGUGAAUAGAGCGUUACAGGAAUGGCAGUUAAGGGAGAGUUGAACUUUUUCCUAUAAUUGAAGUAAGCAGAAUUGAAGUGUAGUGGGAUUAGCCUCCAUGAUAGAUGAGAAUGGUUUUUGGUUCUAGUGUUAUUGGACUCUUCAAAUGAAAUUAAAUAGAAAAUCAGAGUGUAUCACAAGUAAUAAGGAACUAAGAAUUUUUUAAACAGUUUUGUUAUAAUUCGUAUACCAUUAGAGUUCACCCAUUUGAAGUAUACAAUUCAAGGGCUUUUCAGUACUGAACAUUCAUGUAGCCAUCACCACAGUUCAGCUUUAGAACAUAUUUGUCAACCCCCAGAAAUGCACCUCAUGCUCAUUAUCAGUCACUCUCCCCUUCCCCCACCUCAUUCCAAAGCAGCCACUUAAUCUUCUCUUCACCAUAGAGUUGCCUAUUUUGGAUAGUUUGUUAUAUAGUAUGUUAUCAUUUGUGACUGGCUUAUUGCACUUACUGUAAGCUUUUUGAGAUUCAUUCAUCAUGUAGUAUGUAUCAGUAGUCUGUUCCUUUUUAUUGCCUAAUAUUCCAUUAUUCAGGUAUUCCACACUUUAUUUAUCUACUGUUCAGUUGAUGGUCAUUUGGAUUGUUUCCACUUUUUGGGUAAAGUUAAUACUGUCAUAAACAUUCAUGCAUAAGUUUUUAUGUGUUGUAUUUUUUUUUUAACUUGGUUAUAUACUCAGGAGUGAAAUUACUGGGUCAUAUGGAUGACUCAAUGUUUAACAUUUUGAGGAACUACCAAGCUAUUUCUCAAAACUGGUGGUACCAUUUGACAUAACUGCCAGCAAGGUGCAAAGGUUCAAAUUUCUCUGCAUCCUACUCAAGCUUGUUAUUGUCUGUCUUGAAUAGUAUUGAUUUGCAUUUCCCCAAUAGGUAGUGAUGUUGAGUAUCUUCUCAUGUGUGCAUUGGCCAUUUGUAUAUCUUCCUGGGAGAAAUAUUUAUUCAGAUCCUUUGCCUAUGUAAAAAAAUUGUUAGUUUUACAUACAAAUACUUAGACAGAUCUGUGAUUGUAAGUAUUUUCUCUUGUUUUGGGGGUUGUCUUUUUACUUUCUUGAUGGCAUUGUUUAUAGCACAAAAGAUUUUAAUUUUAAUGAAAUCAAAUGUCUGUGUUUUUAAUCUAUUAAUCUAUUUUAUCUAUCUUUGAUGGUUCUUUUGGUAUCUUAUGUAAGAAACCAUUGUCCAGCUCAAAAGUCAUGACAAUUAGCCCUGUGUUUUCUUGCAAAUUUGUUUGAAUUCCUUUGUGUGUGUGUGAAUGUGAUAAAGGGGUCAAACUUCAUUCUUUUGCAUGUGGAUAUGCAGUUGUCCUAGCACCAUUUAUUGAAAAGUACCACUCUUAAUGGUCUUGGCAUUCUUAUUUGUUUUAAUGUUUAUUUCUAUUGACUCUUGGUUCUAUUUUUAUGUUAGCCUCAUUGCAUUGAGUACUGGACCUCAGAAGUUUUUUUUUUUUGGAAAUUGUUUCAAUUAAGUAUGAGUGUAUUUAGAGAUAGAUACACACAGAGGUGUGUAUAUGUAAUAAAUUGUAAAAUCUUGGAAAACUGACUUGAGAUAUGGUAGCCCCCUGAAACAGUUCAUUCUCUUAGCAGUGUAAUGGGAUGUCUUCCUCACAGGGAACCAAUAGAUAAGGCAGUUAAAAGGGCCUGCCUAUGGGUAUAUGAAUUCCUUUUGGAUUAGAUGACUGAUUUUUCUUACUUUAGUAGAUAAAAUUUUUUUCAGGUACAUGUGGACUAAAGAAGGGCUUAGAAACAGCUGUGAGAACUCCUGAACCAGCAAUAAGAGAGGAAUUUAUGUAAGCAUUGUGGAAUGUUGUAUAAUUUGAAGUUAGUGUUUUACACUGGGCCAGUCUUUUGUGAUUGUCUUUUAAAACCACACACACACAAAUUUUGUUUGAUGUAUUAAGCAUGUCUGUAUGAAAUGCCUUUAUUAUCUGGAUCCUCUAUAAGGUCUGAUUCUGUAGGUGCUUGUGUCCUGGUCUUGUGACGUGGAUGUUUUUUAUUAUGGCAUUAUAUAUGAAAAGUAUAUGGAGGUGUCAUUUAAUGUUUGAGAGCAUCUCCUUUUAGAGAGAAUUUUUGUUUACUUUUGGCAGAAAGCUAGCUAGUGGUACCAACAGUCCUGAAUCAUCGUAAUCCAGUCAGAGAGUAAGAUAUUUUAAAAUGAGGCUCUGGAAGUCUGUAAAGGCUGGCCUAUUUUGUGUUUUAUCCCUCCUAGAAUAUGACCCUUUGGAGUUCCAACAUAAAGCCAGGGGUAUUAGCCCAUUUCCCCACUCCCACACUUUCUUGGGGUCUUAAUGGCAGUAGUCAAUCUUCCCUACCCUUGUAAAUCUGUUGAAAGUUCAUCUCAUGCAGAUGAAAACAACACUGAGAUUCCACCUCACCCCAGAAAGAAUGGCUGCUAUAAAGAAAUCGACAAAUAACAAAUGCUGGCGGGUUGUGGGGAGAAAGGAACCCUUCUCCAUUGUUGGUGGGAGUGCAGACUGGUGCAACCACUGUGGAAGUCAGUGUGGAGAUACCUCAAAGAACUAGGACUAGAGGUCCCAUUUGACCCAGCUAUUCCCCUGCUGGGUAUCUUCCCAAAAGAAUGAAAAGAAUCAUACUACAACGAUAUAUGUGCAUCCAUGUUCAUAGCAGCACAGUUUGUAGUAGCUAAAGCUUGGAAGCAACCCAAGUGCCCAUCAACUGGAAACUGGAUAAAGAAAAUGUGGUUUUUUUAAUAAAAUGGAGUACUACUCAGCCUUAAAGAACGAAAAACUAGAGUCAUCUAUAGCUAAAUGGAUGUAUAUUGAGGCCAUACUCUUAAGUGAAAUAAAUAGGACACACGUGUAAAUACCGAAUAGUUUCACUAGUUUGAGAAACUGAUAGUGUAAACAGGGUUAAAAUGAUUAAAAUGAAUAAUUGAUAAUUUGAAAUAGGAAAAAAGGUCCAAAGAUGAAGGAGUGAAGGGAGGGGAAGGGAAAAGGAAAAGAGAGAAAGGGAAAACUAUGAGAAAAGAAAAAAAAUGGAAAUGAAAUCUGUGUAAAUAGGGAAGGGUGGAGGGGUGAAGGGUGCACAGGUAAUGGGGGGGAAAAA